This 477-nucleotide ribosomal RNA is filed under the name Bacillus sp. (in: firmicutes). RNAcentral's name for it is "bacterial SSU rRNA". It matches the Rfam family "Bacterial small subunit ribosomal RNA", at positions 69 to 512 of the family's 1533-position model. The record is from RNAcentral. Lineage: Bacteria; Bacillati; Bacillota; Bacilli; Caryophanales; Bacillaceae.
UGAUCAUGGCUCAGGAGGUCGUAACAAGGUGAACCGUAGAGUUUGACGGCGGACGGGUGAGUAACACGUGGGUAACCUGCCCAUAAGACUGGGAUAACUCCGGGAAACCGGGGCUAAUACCGGAUAACAUUUUGAACCGCAUGGUUCGAAAUUGAAAGGCGGCUUCGGCUGUCACUUAUGGAUGGACCCGCGUCGCAUUAGCUAGUUGGUGAGGUAACGGCUCACCAAGGCAACGAUGCGUAGCCGACCUGAGAGGGUGAUCGGCCACACUGGGACUGAGACACGGCCCAGACUCCUACGGGAGGCAGCAGUAGGGAAUCUUCCGCAAUGGACGAAAGUCUGACGGAGCAACGCCGCGUGAGUGAUGAAGGCUUUCGGGUCGUAAAACUCUGUUGUUAGGGAAGAACAAGUGCUAGUUGAAUAAGCUGGCACCUUGACGGUACCUAACCAGAAAGCCACGGCUAACUACGUGCCAGC